GAAGAAGGCGGAGUUUCAAGAGCUCAUGCGAUUGCCUCACGCAGAUUCAAAAUGUCAGAAACUGUUCAGGCAUUUAUUUUCAAACCAGAGUCUGACAGUGAUGGAGAGACUCAAGAAGUGACAACAUGUUAAGUGCAACAGGACGUUUCUGAACGACUUGUCAGGUUGGGGUUGGACUUAAGGCUUUGGGUCAAGUCUCGAGCUCAAGCCCUCCACCAAGGACAGCAAGAGGACAUGCGUUCGCCAUCUUGUACAACAACACACCUAGAGCUCAGACAUUUAUUGGGACGGCAUGGAAUCAAGGUUCUGUCAAGACUUCAGGAGAACGACUGAUGACCACUCUGCCACUCCCUCUUCCUGUGGGCCUGACCUGUGGACACAGAAACAGCCAACUUAGAAGACAGAGGUGUUAAAUAUCCAAUAUCCAAAUAUCCAGGAAGCUCCCCGACCCAGGAGCUUCCUGGAUAUUUGGAUACUGGGUCUCCAAACAUCACAUUCAGAUAUCACAUAGUUAGUAAUGUUUUAAUAACAAUCAAUAAUUGAUGUCAGUGGUCAAAUAAAAAUUGUUACUUCA
This is a long non-coding RNA of Megalobrama amblycephala (Wuchang bream), 574 nucleotides long. RefSeq lists it as uncharacterized. Lineage: Eukaryota; Metazoa; Chordata; Actinopteri; Cypriniformes; Xenocyprididae. The record is from RefSeq and is a predicted model, not a curated record. The transcript is spliced from 4 exons.